Molecule: ribosomal RNA, 1235 nt
Filed under: metagenome
Description: bacterial LSU rRNA
Rfam family: Bacterial large subunit ribosomal RNA
Source: RNAcentral
UGAAUACGAGACGCUAAGGCGUCGAAGUAGUGUAUGUCAUACUUCCAAGAAAAGCUUGCACUGUCAUAAGUAAAAAAUGCCUGUACCAUAACCGACACAGGUGGGUAGGUAGAGUAUACUAAGGGGCGCGAGAUAACUCUCUCUAAGGAACUCGGCAAAAUAACUCCGUAACUUCGGGAGAAGGAGUACCUUAUUCUAUAAGGUUGCAAUAACAAGAUCCAAGCAACUGUUUAUCAAAAACACAGGUCUCCGCUAAGUCGUAAGACGAUGUAUGGGGGCUGACGCCUGCCCAGUGCCAGAGGGUUAAAGAAGUCGGUUAGCAUUAGCGAAGCUGGUAACUGAAGCCCUGGUGAACGGCGGCCGUAACUAUAACGGUCCUAAGGUAGCGAAAUUCCUUGUCGGGUAAGUUCCGACCCGCACGAAAGGCGUAAUGAUUUGGAUACUGUCUCGGAGAGGGGCUCGGUGAAAUAGACUUGUCUGUGAAGAUGCGGACUACCUGCACCAGGACAGAAAGACCCUAUGAAGCUUUACUGUAACUUGAAAUUGAAUUUGGACUUUAUUCGCGCAGUAUAGGUGGGAGGUGUUGAUUAUAAUCUUGCGGGAUUAUUGGAGCCAUCAGUGAGAUACCACUCUUGUAAUGUUAGAUUUCUAACUUUGAAUCAUUAUCUGGUCAAAGGACAGUUUCAGGCGGGCAGUUUGACUGGGGCGGUCGCCUCCCAAACGGUAACGGAGGCGUACAAAGGUUUCCUCUGAACGGGUAGAAAUCGUAUCUAGAGUGUAAAGGCAUAAGGAAGCUUGACUGUGAGACCUACAAGUCGAACAGGGACGAAAGUCGGUCUUAGUGAUCUGACGGUACUGAGUGGAAAGGCCGUCACUCAACGGAUAAAAGUUACUCUAGGAUAACAGGCUGAUCUCCCCCAAGAGUUCACAUCGACGGGGAGGUUUGGCACCUCGAUGUCGGCUCAUCGCAUCCUGGGGCGGUAGUACGUCCCAAGGGUUGGGCUGUUCGCCCAUGAAAGCGGUACGCGAGCUGGGUUCACAACGUCGUGAGACAGUUCGGUCCAUAUCCGGUGUAGGCGUUAGAAUAUUGAGAGGAGCCUUCUUUAGUACGAGAGGACCGAGAAGGACAUACCUCUGGUGUACCAGUUAUCGUGCCAACGGUAAACGCUGGGUAGCUAUGUAUGGAGUGGAUAACCGCUGAAAGCAUCUAAGUGGGAAGCCCACCUCAAGAUAAG